RNAcentral lists this unclassified non-coding RNA (348 nucleotides) under soil metagenome. RNAcentral describes it as "partial contains 5.8S ribosomal RNA, internal transcribed spacer 2, and large subunit ribosomal RNA". The stretch from base 1 to 120 matches the Rfam family "5.8S ribosomal RNA", at positions 35 to 154 of the family's 154-position model. The record is from RNAcentral.
GAUGAAGAACGUAGUGAAAUGCGAUAAGUAAUGUGAAUUGCAGAAUUCAGUGAAUCAUCGAAUCUUUGAACGCACAUUGCGCCCUCUGGUAUUCCGGGGGGCAUGCCUGUUCGAGCGUCAUUUCAACCCUCAAGCUCUGCUUGGUAUUGGGCGUCGCCGGGGAGUCUCCCCGGCGUGCCUCAAAGCCAUCGGCGGUGGUGCCUUUCUCUAAGCGUGGUAGAAUUUUUAUUCGCUUCUGAGUUGGGCUUCGCCUGCCGGACAAACCGGGCCCUCGCGGCCCACCUUCUCAGGUUGACCUCGGAUCAGGUAGGGAUACCCGCUGAACUUAAGCAUACAAUAAGCGGAGGA